GGGAUCAUAGCUCAGUUGGGAGAGCGCAUGGCUGGCAGCCAUGAGGUCAGGGGUUCGAGCCCCCUUGGUUCCACCA
Molecule: transfer RNA, 76 nt
Filed under: Bacilli bacterium
Lineage: Bacteria; Bacillati; Bacillota; Bacilli
Description: tRNA-Ala
Rfam family: tRNA
About the family: Transfer RNA (tRNA) molecules are approximately 80 nucleotides in length. Their secondary structure includes four short double-helical elements and three loops (D, anti-codon, and T loops).
Source: RNAcentral